AAUGGGUCAGCGACUUAUAUUCUGUAGCAAGGUUAACCGAAUAGGGGAGCCGAAGGGAAACCGAGUCUUAACUGGGCGUUAAGUUGCAGGGUAUAGACCCGAAACCCGGUGAUCUAGCCAUGGGCAGGUUGAAGGUUGGGUAACACUAACUGGAGGACCGAACCGACUAAUGUUGAAAAAUUAGCGGAUGACUUGUGGCUGGGGGUGAAAGGCCAAUCAAACCGGGAGAUAGCUGGUUCUCCCCGAAAGCUAUUUAGGUAGCGCCUCGUGAAUUCAUCUCCGGGGGUAGAGCACUGUUUCGGCAAGGGGGUCAUCCCGACUUACCAACCCGAUGCAAACUGCGAAUACCGGAGAAUGUUAUCACGGGAGACACACGGCGGGUGCUAACGUCCGUCGUGAAGAGGGAAACAACCCAGACCGCCAGCUAAGGUCCCAAAGUCAUGGUUAAGUGGGAAACGAUGUGGGAAGGCCCAGACAGCCAGGAUGUUGGCUUAGAAGCAGCCAUCAUUUAAAGAAAGCGUAAUAGCUCACUGGUCGAGUCGGCCUGCGCGGAAGAUGUAACGGGGCUAAACCAUGCACCGAAGCUGCGGCAGCGACACUGUGUGUUGUUGGGUAGGGGAGCGUUCUGUAAGCCUGUGAAGGUGUGCUGUGAGGCAUGCUGGAGGUAUCAGAAGUGCGAAUGCUGACAUAAGUAACGAUAAAGCGGGUGAAAAGCCCGCUCGCCGGAAGACCAAGGGU
This 738-nucleotide ribosomal RNA is filed under the name Escherichia coli. RNAcentral describes it as "partial 23S ribosomal RNA". It matches the Rfam family "Bacterial large subunit ribosomal RNA", at positions 614 to 1352 of the family's 2925-position model. The record is from RNAcentral. Lineage: Bacteria; Pseudomonadati; Pseudomonadota; Gammaproteobacteria; Enterobacterales; Enterobacteriaceae.